This 499-nucleotide ribosomal RNA is filed under the name uncultured microorganism. RNAcentral describes it as "bacterial SSU rRNA". It matches the Rfam family "Bacterial small subunit ribosomal RNA", at positions 9 to 496 of the family's 1533-position model. The record is from RNAcentral.
GAGUUUGAUCAUGGCUCAGAUUGAACGCUGGCGGCAGGCCUAACACAUGCAAGUCGAGCGGUAACAGGACUAGCUUGCUAGUUGCUGACGAGCGGCGGACGGGUGCGUAACACGUAGGAAUCUGCCCGGGUAGUGGGGGAUAGCCCGGAGAAAUCCGGAUUAAUACCGCAUACGCCCUAAGGGGGAAAGAUGGCCUCUUCUUGAAAGCUAUCACUAUCGGAUGAGCCUGCGUCGGAUUAGCUAGUUGGUGAGGUAAAGGCUUACCAAGGCGACGAUCCGUAGCUGGUCUGAGAGGAUGAUCAGCCACACUGGGACUGAGACACGGCCCAGACUCCUACGGGAGGCAGCAGUGGGGAAUAUUGCACAAUGGGCGCAAGCCUGAUGCAGCCAUGCCGCGUGUGUGAAGAAGGCUCUAGGGUUGUAAAGCACUUUCAGCGAGGAGGAAAGGUUAAAGAUUAAUACUCUUUAGCUGUGACGUUACUCGCAGAAGAAGCACCGG